Molecule: long non-coding RNA, 317 nt
Organism: Pipistrellus kuhlii (Kuhl's pipistrelle)
Lineage: Eukaryota; Metazoa; Chordata; Mammalia; Chiroptera; Vespertilionidae
Exons: 2
Source: RefSeq, a predicted model, not a curated record
CCCAAGAUAGAACUGGUAGCCAGUAUAUUAAAUUGUUAUAAAAAUAUAUGAAAAGAACUGGAACCAGGUUCAGAAUCAUGAAAACAACAUUUUUACAAAAAAAAAAAAAAAUAAACUAUAUUAAACAGGGUUUAAAGGGAAUUAAAACAGAACUAUGAGAAGUACAAUUUGUUAUAGUAUAGUAUCAAAUUUCUAUAUAGAUUUUAUACCUUGGUGGGGGAAAAACAACUGAUUCCAGUGACGUUCAUUUUGUUUUCAUCUGUGAUAGUCAUGGAUGCUUUUUUAUUUCUCCUUGGGGUGCUGAAAUUGAGCUGGGG